This 76-nucleotide transfer RNA is filed under the name Solilutibacter silvestris. RNAcentral describes it as "Lysobacter silvestris tRNA-Thr". It matches the Rfam family "tRNA". From Rfam's summary of the family: Transfer RNA (tRNA) molecules are approximately 80 nucleotides in length. Their secondary structure includes four short double-helical elements and three loops (D, anti-codon, and T loops). Further hydrogen bonds mediate the characteristic L-shaped molecular structure. tRNAs have two regions of fundamental functional importance: the anti-codon, which is responsible for specific mRNA codon recognition, and the 3' end, to which the tRNAs corresponding amino acid is attached (by aminoacyl-tRNA synthetases). tRNAs cope with the degeneracy of the genetic code in two manners: having more than one tRNA (with a specific anti-codon) for a particular amino acid; and 'wobble' base-pairing, i.e. permitting non-standard base-pairing at the 3rd anti-codon position. The record is from RNAcentral. Lineage: Bacteria; Pseudomonadati; Pseudomonadota; Gammaproteobacteria; Lysobacterales; Lysobacteraceae.
GCCGCUUUAGCUCAGUUGGUAGAGCAACCGCCUUGUAAGCGGUAGGUCCACAGUUCGAGUCUGUGAUGCGGCACCA